Molecule: ribosomal RNA, 2901 nt
Filed under: Streptococcus pneumoniae
Lineage: Bacteria; Bacillati; Bacillota; Bacilli; Lactobacillales; Streptococcaceae
Description: 23S ribosomal RNA
Rfam family: Bacterial large subunit ribosomal RNA
Source: RNAcentral
UUAAGUUAAUAAGGGCGCACGGUGGAUGCCUUGGCACUAGGAGCCGACGAAGGACGUGACAAACGACGAUAUGCCUUGGGUAGCUGUAAGUAAGCGAUGAUCCAGGGAUUUCCGAAUGGGGGAACCCAACAGGUAAUACCUGUUACCUACAUCUGUUAAGGAUGUGAGGAGGAAGACGCAGUGAACUGAAACAUCUAAGUAGCUGCAGGAAGAGAAAGCAAAAGCGAUUGCCUUAGUAGCGGCGAGCGAAACGGCAGAAGGGCAAACCGAAGAGUUUACUCUUCGGGGUUGUAGGACUGCAAUGUGGACUCAAAGAUUAUAGAAGAAUGAUUUGGGAAGAUCAGCCAAAGAGAGUAAUAGCCUCGUAUUUAAAAUAGUCUUUGUACUUAGCAGUAUCCUGAGUACGGCGGGACACGUGAAAUCCCGUCGGAAUCUGGGAGGACCAUCUCCCAACCCUAAAUACUCCCUAGUGACCGAUAGUGAACCAGUACCGUGAGGGAAAGGUGAAAAGCACCCCGGGAGGGGAGUGAAAUAGAACCUGAAACCGUGUGCCUACAACAAGUUCGAGCCCGUUAAUGGGUGAGAGCGUGCCUUUUGUAGAAUGAACCGGCGAGUUACGUUAUGAUGCGAGGUUAAGUUGAAGAGACGGAGCCGUAGGGAAACCGAGUCUGAAUAGGGCGCCUUAGUAUCAUGACGUAGACCCGAAACCAUGUGACCUACCCAUGAGCAGGUUGAAGGUGCGGUAAGACGCACUGGAGGACCGAACCAGGGCACGUUGAAAAGUGCUUGGAUGACUUGUGGGUAGCGGAGAAAUUCCAAACGAACUUGGAGAUAGCUGGUUCUCUCCGAAAUAGCUUUAGGGCUAGCGUCGACAUUAGAGAUUCUUGGAGGUAGAGCACUGUUUGGGUGAGGGGUCCAUCCCGGAUUACCAAUCUCAGAUAAACUCCGAAUGCCAAUGAAUUAUGGUCGGCAGUCAGACUGCGAGUGCUAAGAUCCGUAGUCGAAAGGGAAACAGCCCAGACCACCAGCUAAGGUCCCAAAAUAAUUGUUAAGUGGAAAAGGAUGUGGGGUUGCACAGACAACUAGGAUGUUAGCUUAGAAGCAGCUAUUCAUUCAAAGAGUGCGUAAUAGCUCACUAGUCGAGUGACCCUGCGCCGAAAAUGUACCGGGGCUAAAACAAUUUACCGAAGCUGUGGAUACCUUUAUAGGUAUGGUAGGAGAGCGUUCUAUGUGUGAUGAAGGUAUACCGUGAGGAGUGCUGGAACGCAUAGAAGUGAGAAUGCCGGUAUGAGUAGCGAAAGACAGGUGAGAAUCCUGUCCACCGUAAGACUAAGGUUUCCAGGGGAAGGCUCGUCCGCCCUGGGUUAGUCGGGACCUAAGGAGAGACCGAAAGGUGUAUCCGAUGGACAACAGGUUGAUAUUCCUGUACUAGAGUAUGUAGUGAUGGAGGGACGCAGUAGGCUAACUAAAGCAGACGAUUGGAAGAGUCUGUCUAAGCAGUGAGGUGUGAAUUGAGUCAAAUGCUUAAUUCUAUAACAUUGAGCUGUGAUGGGGAGCGAAGUUUAGUAGCGAAGUUAGUGACGUCACACUGCCAAGAAAAGCUUCUAGCGUUUAAACAUACUCUACCCGUACCGCAAACCGACACAGGUAGUCGAGGCGAGUAGCCUCAGGUGAGCGAGAGAACUCUCGUUAAGGAACUCGGCAAAAUGACCCCGUAACUUCGGGAGAAGGGGUGCUGACUUUAAGUCAGCCGCAGUGAAUAGGCCCAAGCAACUGUUUAUCAAAAACACAGCUCUCUGCUAAAUCGUAAGAUGAUGUAUAGGGGGUGACGCCUGCCCGGUGCUGGAAGGUUAAGAGGAGUGCUUAGCGUAAGCGAAGGUAUGAAUUGAAGCCCCAGUAAACGGCGGCCGUAACUAUAACGGUCCUAAGGUAGCGAAAUUCCUUGUCGGGUAAGUUCCGACCCGCACGAAAGGCGUAAUGAUUUGGGCACUGUCUCAACGAGAGACUCGGUGAAAUUUUAGUACCUGUGAAGAUGCAGGUUACCCGCGACAGGACGGAAAGACCCCAUGGAGCUUUACUGCAGUUUGAUAUUGAGUGUCUGUACCACAUGUACAGGAUAGGUAGGAGUCUAAGAGAUCGGGACGCCAGUUUCGAAGGAGACGCUGUUGGGAUACUACCCUUGUGUUAUGGCCACUCUAACCCAGAUAGGUGAUCCCUAUCGGAGACAGUGUCUGACGGGCAGUUUGACUGGGGCGGUCGCCUCCUAAAAGGUAACGGAGGCGCCCAAAGGUUCCCUCAGAAUGGUUGGAAAUCAUUCGCAGAGUGUAAAGGUAUAAGGGAGCUUGACUGCGAGAGCUACAACUCGAGCAGGGACGAAAGUCGGGCUUAGUGAUCCGGUGGUUCCGUAUGGAAGGGCCAUCGCUCAACGGAUAAAAGCUACCCUGGGGAUAACAGGCUUAUCUCCCCCAAGAGUUCACAUCGACGGGGAGGUUUGGCACCUCGAUGUCGGCUCGUCGCAUCCUGGGGCUGUAGUCGGUCCCAAGGGUUGGGCUGUUCGCCCAUUAAAGCGGCACGCGAGCUGGGUUCAGAACGUCGUGAGACAGUUCGGUCCCUAUCCGUCGCGGGCGUAGGAAAUUUGAGAGGAUCUGCUCCUAGUACGAGAGGACCAGAGUGGACUUACCGCUGGUGUACCAGUUGUCUUGCCAAAGGCAUCGCUGGGUAGCUAUGUAGGGAAGGGAUAAACGCUGAAAGCAUCUAAGUGUGAAACCCACCUCAAGAUGAGAUUUCCCAUGAUUAUAUAUCAGUAAGAGCCCUGAGAGAUGAUCAGGUAGAUAGGUUAGAAGUGGAAGUGNNNNNNNNNNNNNNNNNNNNNNNNNNNNNNNNNNNNNNNNNNNNNNNNNN